This is a non-coding RNA of Sorex fumeus (smoky shrew), 282 nucleotides long. Lineage: Eukaryota; Metazoa; Chordata; Mammalia; Eulipotyphla; Soricidae. The record is from the annotation of a RefSeq genome assembly.
AUGAGGGCCCCUGUGCUGCUCCUAAGCAUCCUACUGCUCUGGCUCCCAGGUGCCAGGUGUGAUAUACAGAUGACUCAGACUCCAUCCCUGUCUGCGUCUCUGGGAGAGAAAGUCACCAUCACCUGCAAAGCCAGUCAGAGCAUUAACACAUGGUUAGCCUGGUAUCAGCAGAAACCAGGGAAAUCUCCUAGGCUCCUGAUCUAUGGUGCAACCAGCUUAGGACAAGACGUCCCUCCCCGGUUCAGUGGCAGUGGGUCUGGGACAGAUUUUACUCUCCCAUAA